UACGUAGGGUGCGAGCGUUAAUCGGAAUUACUGGGCGUAAAGCGUGCGCAGGCGGUCUGUUAAGACCGAUGUGAAAUCCCCGGGCUUAACCUGGGAACUGCAUUGGUGACUGGCAGGCUUUGAGUGUGGCAGAGGGAGGUAGAAUUCCACGUGUAGCAGUGAAAUGCGUAGAGAUCGGAAAGAACACCAACGGCGAAAGCACUCUGCUGGGCCGACACUGACACUGAGAGACGAAAGCUAGGGGAGCGAAUGGG
RNAcentral lists this ribosomal RNA (254 nucleotides) under uncultured bacterium. RNAcentral describes it as "partial 16S ribosomal RNA". It matches the Rfam family "Bacterial small subunit ribosomal RNA", at positions 524 to 776 of the family's 1533-position model. The record is from RNAcentral.